Molecule: ribosomal RNA, 442 nt
Filed under: Zonitoschema sp. K AR-2022a
Lineage: Eukaryota; Metazoa; Arthropoda; Insecta; Coleoptera; Meloidae
Description: partial large subunit ribosomal RNA
Rfam family: Bacterial large subunit ribosomal RNA
Source: RNAcentral
AGCUGCAGUAUCCUGACUGUACAAAGGUAGCAUAAUCAUUAGUUUCUUAAUUGGAAGCUGGAAUGAAUGGUCGAAUAAGGAGAUGACUGUCUCUUUUUAAUUAAAUUGAAUUUUAUUUUUAAGUUAAAAAGCUUAAAUUUUGUAGAAAGACGAGAAGACCCUAUAGAGUUUAAUAAAUUUUUAUUUUUAAAUUUUAGGGUUUUAUUAUAUAGAAAUUUAAAUUUAUUUUGUUGGGGUGAUAUUAGAAUUUAAUAAACUUCUUUUUUUAAGUCAUUGAUUUAUGUAUAAAUGAUCCUUUAUUUUAGAUUAAAAGAUUAAAUUACCUUAGGGAUAACAGCGUAAUUCUUUUUGAGAGUUCUUAUCGAUAAAAGAGAUUGCGACCUCGAUGUUGGAUUAAAGUUAAAUUUUGGUGUAGAAGCUUUAAAUUUUAAGUCUGUUCGAC